CUUAUGAGGACUUGGAGCCAGGCAUUGGCAGCAGCAGCAGCAGCAUCUAGAAGAGGCUAGAUUCUGAAUGGUGCACGAGGGGAGAGCCAAGAGGAUUUCCUGGCCAGUUCCUUGUUGGAUGGCUCCAGGGCUUUUGCCCUGAGUGACUGGAAAGAUAGAGUUACCAUCCUUGGAGGCUGGGAAGACCGCAGGCAGAGCAGGCCAAACAAAAGAAUCUGGAGCAGCUGAGGAUGGAGCAAAGCGCUCAAGGAAAAACACAUGUCAUGCUUUCGUUUUGUACAUUCUGUGUUGAUGUUGUUGUUUUGUUUUGUUUUGUUUUAACUUGGAAAAGGUAGUUAAGAAGUCCUCCCUCCCCCACUUAAAAGCAUAAACUGAGAGACUGGAUUACUGAGCUUUUGCCAGAUGGCAACAGUGAACUGGCACUGAAAGCAUCUGAGCUCUUACUUCACCCCAGGCACAAGCAGGGAGGACCCAGCUCACGGUGGUAAAUGCUGAAGGCCGCCUCUAACCAGGAAAUCGGGCAAGAAGACCAUGGAGGAAUGACCAAAUGAAAUCAAUCAACAUGCAACCACCAGGUUCCAGAUGAUACCAUGAUGCCAAUCUGACUUCCUUGGGCAGAAGACUCCACCAUGUCUCUUGGACCCCUGCCUCCCCAGAUCCCUGCCCCACUAGGGAAAGAAAGAGGCAGGCUGGGAGUAUGGACUGACCUGUCAAUGCCCAUGUUCAUCGGGGAAGCAAUUACAGAAGCCAGACCUUCCACCUUCUGCACCCCAUAAUGAUCUUGGGUCCAUACUCCCAGAGGG
This is a long non-coding RNA of Erinaceus europaeus (western European hedgehog), 803 nucleotides long. RefSeq lists it as uncharacterized. The transcript has 3 exons. The record is from RefSeq and is a predicted model, not a curated record. NCBI's taxonomy places the organism in Eukaryota, Metazoa, Chordata, Mammalia, Eulipotyphla, Erinaceidae.